CAACUCUACAGUAUUUGGUAGCCCUGCCCGAGCUUGCCAUAUGAAUUGGCGCAAUUUUGGCAAACAAAACUAAACAAAAUAAAAAUAGUCCAGCAACAAGCAAGCUGCAGCUACUAAGACUACAAAAAUGACGACAACGACGCCGACACUACAGACGCGCAUGGCGCUAGCUGAAAUUCCCGAUCGUCUGGAAGCGCUCCGCGUUGCGAAUACACCAACAAAUGCCAAUCGCCGCACGCCAGAUGAGCCCACACCGGCAGCCACAGCUAACACGCCCAAUGGUGGCGGCGGUGGCGGGGGAUUGGGAUUGCGUGUGGACAAUGAUUUAAAUGUGGCACAGGCACAGGAUUUUAGCUUCUCGCCGCUGCCCUCACCAGACGAGCUUAUUAUACGACAACGUGGACGUCGUCGUUUCACAACGACUUUCUCACCGGACAAAGUGAAUGGCGGCAUCAGCGGCAGCGGCAGUGCAGUACGCAGUCCCUUUCAGCGUACGCCCACGAAAAAUCUACAGUUAACAAGCGGCAUGAUAUUGCGCAGUUCUCCGCGUAAACGACUGACCAUGGGCAGCACACCACCCGAACCAAUGCCAAUGGAAACGUAUUCACCCAUCAAAUUGACCGGCACAAAACAACAACUAUGGCCAGGUACGCCGAUAGUGAAAAAACUAAAAAUGGAUGACCGUCCCGUGGCGCAAACGAACAGCGAAGUGGCACUGCCUGCGCUACUACAGGGCCUCUCCCAGCAACAACUUAUUGACUUGAUAAUGUGCAAUAUAAAACAGGAGACGGCGACGGAUACACAAAGCGGCGAGGAGAAAAUACGCGCUCAGCUGCCCACACCAGACAUUACUUUGCUGGAGCAAGAGCUGCAUUAUGCCAAAAGGCUAAUAUUCAAAUCUCUGCCCACGUCGCGACUUUGCAAGAAAACAGAUGCCGCUGCUUACUCAAAGGCAGCCAUACAUCUCAAUGAGUUUAAGCGAAUACUGCAAACGCAGGCGAAGCGUCUGCACGACUCCACACACUGGGAUGCACUGGUGGACUAUGUCAGCAUGGCUUGGCAAUGUGUGGCGAGCACGCCCAACUGGGAGAGCAAUUCCCACAAUGCGGUGCGAAGACAGUGCUUUAAGCUGCUGGCAUGCUCCUGUUAUGCGGCAAUCAAACACGGCGGCAUGCGGCUGGGUCAAACAAGACUGGAGACAUUGGAACGUAAUUUGCGUGAGUGGUCGAAGGACUACGAGGACGUGCUGUCCUGCGUGAAUGCAUUGCAGCGUACGCUUAACAGCCGCACCAGCUUAUAAAGCCAUGAGAGGUGGUAGACUUCAAAUAGACUUAAGGCAGACUUGCUGAACUCGAGGUUUAGUGGACCGUUUAGAUUAAGUGUGUGUAUAAUCGCUUGUGGAUAAUUUCGGCUUUCCCCGCACGGCAACUGAUUAGCCUCGCCUAUCAACAGUCGUUUUAUCAUAUCAUCCAAGAAGUCGGGCGGAAAAGCGAUGCAUGGACCAUUAAUAAGAUGGCACUUAAUAAUCUUUGGUAAUUUGUUGAAAAUGAUGCAGAACACGCAGUACAACAUUCCUCGCCUGCCUGCCUGCCAGCCUGGGCAAAUGACACACAUUGAAAUAUUUUUAUAAUUUAUGCUCACCUCCCUUUAAAUAGAGAGCUGGCUAUAUGGGGAAGGAGUAGUUUCUUAGCCGCCUCAUAAUUUUUGUGUGUGUUCAAAAAUAACAUCAAAUUCACAUCAA
Non-coding RNA from Drosophila virilis, 1741 nucleotides. The record is from RefSeq and is a predicted model, not a curated record. NCBI's taxonomy places the organism in Eukaryota, Metazoa, Arthropoda, Insecta, Diptera, Drosophilidae.